This 119-nucleotide ribosomal RNA is filed under the name Pteropus alecto (black flying fox). The record is from RNAcentral. Lineage: Eukaryota; Metazoa; Chordata; Mammalia; Chiroptera; Pteropodidae.
GUCUACGGCCAUGCUACCAUGAAGAAGCCAGAUUCCGUCUGAUCUCGGAAGCUAAGCAGGGUUGGGCCUGGUAAGUACUUGGAUGGGAGACCACCUAGGAAGAGCAGGUGCUGUAGGCG